AUGAUGGGCAGGCAGGUGCCCGGCCGGCUCCUGGCUCAGAGGCCCGCCUUGGUGGGGGGCAGGAGCGACUGCACGGCUGGCUGCCGUCCUCGGCCCGUUGGCGGCAGCUCUGCCCGGCUGGCUGCGGCAGGGCUCCCGCCGGUCUCGGGGCUUGACCCGGGAGCGCCGCAGGCGGGAGGCCGGCGCCCCGGAGCCGCUUCGCCCCGCCCUUUCCGUCUUGCCCGCCCCACCGCCUCGACCCCCCGGUGGCGUCCGGGCGGCGCAGGGGAGGAGAGGCCGAGCGGGGAGGCCCAAUCCCAGCCGCCGCGCCCUGGCACCCUCUGCUCUCCGCCCGGCAACCAGGCCGAAGCCUCCGGCAGAAAGCAAGGCGCUCACCGCCCCCACCCGGCACGUGCCCCGGGGCCCGGCUGGGCGCCGGGGCCUGGCAUCUCCCGGGCGCAUGCGCCCGCGGCAGCCGCCGCUGCAGGGAAGGGGCGGCCCCUCGGCGCGGAGGGAUCCAGGCAGCAACGUGACGACGCCCCGAGCCGCCCCGGCGGACUUCCGGGGGGCAGGGCGGGGCCGGCGCGCGGCCAGGUGUGGGGGGAGCACGUGCCACGCACCUCGCCGUGCGGACCCUCCCAGCAGCCCCCGGCCUGGAGCGGAGCCCCGCGGCUUCUGGCCGGGCUCAGCUCUGCCCGGAAGGAAAUUCCGGCACCUGAAUGCGAUGGGGCCAGGCGGCGACUCGGGGCGCCCAACGAAGCCCGGGCCGCCGCAUCACUCCCUCCCGCGCCGCCCAGAAAAACGCCUGGCUGGCAACACGGGCAGAGGCAGCGGGUCUCCGCUGAUCGAACUCGCCCGGACCCGCCGGACCGGUUUCUUCUGCAUUCAGGGAGCGGCCUGCCUCCCACUCCUGACCUUCCCCCGGGGAGCCGAGCAGGAAGGAGGCAGGCCUCGCCCAAGUCUGGCGCACGGUCCUGUUGGCUGAAGCACCCACCUGGAAAGCAAACAGCGCCUGGCAGGGCCGGGCCUGUUGCUGCUGUCCUGCAGAGGGGCGCUUUGGAGCAUUCCAGGGGUGAAUCCUGA
RNAcentral lists this long non-coding RNA (1062 nucleotides) under Laticauda laticaudata (blue-ringed sea krait). RNAcentral describes it as "lncRNA (ENSLLTG00000007793.1)". The record is from RNAcentral. Lineage: Eukaryota; Metazoa; Chordata; Lepidosauria; Squamata; Elapidae.